Molecule: long non-coding RNA, 489 nt
Organism: Sitophilus oryzae (rice weevil)
Lineage: Eukaryota; Metazoa; Arthropoda; Insecta; Coleoptera; Curculionidae
Exons: 2
Source: RefSeq, a predicted model, not a curated record
AACAUUAAUAGGUAUGACUCAGAGAACGUUAAGACAACAAUAGAAAUCUCAGAACAAUUUUAGACACAAAUUCACUUGAACUAAACCCUUUCUAAACAUCCUAUUUUACGUAAAAUGUGUACUUUGGUGUCUGAUAAGUAAAAAAAUACUUACAUUUGAUGACUUACCUUAAAAUAUUACAACAAUUAUUACAGUAGAAUCUCUAAUUAUAAAAAUAUCACUAUACCUUUAGGAGUAUGUCAAAGAAUAUCCAAAGGCUACUGCGAAUAAUUCAUAGGAAACUCAAGGACCCCCAAAGCAGAGACAAACAAGAAAAAGGAGCUAAGGAAAGGAGCGAGGGGCGUGAAGAAACGAAGAACUGUACUGUGUAUGUUUGGUUGCCUAAGAAUAUUCUCAAUUCCAAAAAUAAAUUUAUAUUAAUUAAUUCCAUUAAAAUAGAAGAUUGUCCAAAUAUGUAAAGUAAAUUAAAUAAAAAUUAACUUAACAAAA